CCUACGGGAGGCAGCAGUGAGGAAUAUUGGGCAAUGGAGGUAACUCUGACCCAGCCAUGCCGCGUGCAGGAAGACUGCCCUAUGGGUUGUAAACUGCUUUUAUACAGGAAGAAACACUGCUACGUGUAGCAGCUUGACGGUACUGUAAGAAUAAGGACCGGCUAACUCCGUGCCAGCAGCCGCGGUAAUACGGAGGGUCCGAGCGUUAUCCGGAAUCAUUGGGUUUAAAGGGUCCGCAGGCGGUCAAUUAAGUCAGAGGUGAAAUCCCAUAGCUUAACUAUGGAACUGCCUUUGAUACUGGUUGACUUGAGUCAUAUGGAAGUAGAUAGAAUGUGUAGUGUAGCGGUGAAAUGCAUAGAUAUUACACAGAAUACCGAUUGCGAAGGCAGUCUACUACGUAUGUACUGACGCUCAUGGACGAAAGCGUGGGGAGCGAACAGGAUUAGAUACCCUGGUAGUCCACGCCGUAAACGAUGGACACUAGUUGUUGGGCAUUAGCUCAGUGACUAAGCGAAAGUGAUAAGUGUCCCACCUGGGGAGUACGAUCGCAAGAUUGAAACUCAAAGGAAUGACGGAAUCGUCGACUGCAGAAACCG
Molecule: ribosomal RNA, 596 nt
Filed under: Polaribacter dokdonensis
Lineage: Bacteria; Pseudomonadati; Bacteroidota; Flavobacteriia; Flavobacteriales; Flavobacteriaceae
Description: bacterial SSU rRNA
Rfam family: Bacterial small subunit ribosomal RNA
Source: RNAcentral